UCCGAGUUGACCCCGGCAGUCUCCCAUGAGUCCCCGGCAUGACCCGCUGGCAACAUAGGAUAAGGGUUGCGCUCGUUGCGGGACUUAACCCAACAUCUCACGACACGAGCUGACGACAGCCAUGCAGCACCUGUGUGCAGGUCCCCGAAGGGAAGGAAUCCAUCUCUGAUGCUUUCCGGGCGAUGUCAAGCCUUGGUAAGGUUCUUCGCGUUGCGUCGAAUUAAGCCACAUGCUCCGCUGCUUGUGCGGGCCCCCGUCAAUUCCUUUGAGUUUCAGCCUUGCGGCCGUACUCCCCAGGCGGGGCACUUAAUGCGUUAGCGCCGGCACCCAGGGGGUCGCUCCCCCCGACGCCUAGUGCCCAUCGUUUACGGCGUGGACUAC
This 381-nucleotide unclassified non-coding RNA is filed under the name uncultured bacterium. Its description in RNAcentral is "contains 16S-23S intergenic spacer region". The record is from RNAcentral.